CAAAGAACUGGAGCUGUAAGAAUUGCAGUUAGCGCUCUUGACUGGAAAACUGAAGGAAGAAUGAUGUGGCAUACCACAUCUAUUUGCUGAUUGAUGAGGUCGUAAGGAAGUAGAAUGUGGAGCCAUAUAUGGUGGUGGCUGAAUAUCCUCAUUCUCUGGAGGUCAGCUCCCACAGAUUAAAAUGAAUUCAAAAUCAACUCAAGUUUUAUGAAGAUGUAGAGAGAUGAUGAAUGGACAGCAACUGUUUGAACAACUUACUUCACCUUUCAAAGAAAUGCCUGUGUCACAUACACCCUGGCAGGAUGUAAGAUGGUUACAGGAUUUGAAUGGGAUGUUACUAAGAUGAUGGAUAAUAAUACCUUGUUGUUUUGUGCAAUGGCUUUGAUCCAUCAUCAGUAACCCCCCAUGCAAUGAACUGCACAUGUAAUUGCUGGUGGAAGAGCCUGGCUCCAAAGAGCAGUGCAGUGGUGUUGACCAGGAUAACGAGUAGUUCUGACAACCAUCUGUUUACUCCUUGGUUGUUUUGAAAUCAUGCCUGUAUACUCAUUGUGUUAUUUGUUGUUGUUUAUUAGGCUUAUUGUAAAAACUAUUGUGCCUUAACAUAAAGAGUUGGUCAAAAUACUGAGAAAAAUUGGCAGCAAAUAAAACAGAUUAAAAAAUGG
This is a long non-coding RNA of Gallus gallus (chicken), 662 nucleotides long. The record is from Ensembl. NCBI's taxonomy places the organism in Eukaryota, Metazoa, Chordata, Aves, Galliformes, Phasianidae.